This 440-nucleotide ribosomal RNA is filed under the name uncultured bacterium. RNAcentral describes it as "partial 16S ribosomal RNA". It matches the Rfam family "Bacterial small subunit ribosomal RNA", at positions 339 to 795 of the family's 1533-position model. The record is from RNAcentral.
CUACGGGUUGCUCCAGUGAGGAAUAUUGCACAAUGGGGGGAACCCUGAUGCAGCAACGCCGCGUGGAGGAUGACGCAUUUCGGUGUGUAAACUCCUUUUAUAUGUCAAGAAAAUGACGGUAGCAUAUGAAUAAGCACCGGCUAACUCCGUGCCAGCAGCCGCGGUAAUACGGAGAGGUGCAAGCGUUACUCGGAAUCACUGGGCGUAAAGGACGCGUAGGCGGGUUGGAAAGUCAGGUGUGAAAUCCUACAGCUUAACUGUAGAACUGCACUUGAAACUUCUAAUCUAGAGUAUGGGAGGGGGAGAUGGAAUUAGUGGUGUAGGGGUAAAAUCCGUAGAUAUCACUAGGAAUACCUAAAGCGAAGGCGAUCUCCUGGAACAUUACUGACGCUAAGGCGUGAAAGCGUGGGGAGCAAACAGGAUUAGAUACCCGAGUAGUC